Molecule: long non-coding RNA, 2133 nt
Organism: Lynx canadensis (Canada lynx)
Lineage: Eukaryota; Metazoa; Chordata; Mammalia; Carnivora; Felidae
Exons: 4
Source: RefSeq, a predicted model, not a curated record
CUUGUAUAGGAAAGUGAUGAAACAUUCUGGAAACAAAAAAAGGGGGGAGUUGCAAGGGAUUACUCUUGAUUAUAGCAAAUAGCUAAUUCAAAUAUUCUACAUCAUUUUAUUUAUUCUAAAAUAUAAUGAUUAAAGUGAGAAACAAUCCCCUAAGCACAAUGUGGCUGACAGUGCUCUUCCAUUGUUUUUGUGUAGAUAGGACAAGGUCCUUAGACAUUCUUGCCAAAUAGUGUCCUGUUCAGAGCAGUCACUAAUACCAGAUCUUGUUAAUAAGCACUAAUCUCUUUUUAAUAGACUGCGUUUGAUGCCAGAUUAGUAAAAUAAACUCUCAUCUCUCAUGAUGACGCUUUGUUCCUGAGAACUUUCUCUACUUACCUUGAGGACAUUAUGUUUGGAGAUUUUUAUGCUUCAGAAUACAUCUAGAAGACUUCUGCCUUGAAUGGAAAAGGCUUUCUGUAUUGCUGAGACAGAUGUGUUUCUGGGAUGGGAAGGCACCAACUAAGCUAUAGAAGCCAUUCAUAGGCGAAGGAUAAGAAUGCCUAUUCCUUCUUCUUAGAGUUCAAUUUAAAGACAAACAGAAAAAAAAAGGAAGUCCUGACACAAAUAUGAUUAUGAAAAUGGUGAUUUUAGAAGACCAAAACUGGUGAAUUGCCCACAUUUGUAAGAAUAUAGCAGUAAUUUUAAAAACAAAUGAAGGAGCUGCUAUAGGUAUAGGAUACGGUAUUAUUGAAAUCUGGCAAAUUUCCAUCAGUGAAGUGCUUGAGAACUUCCAUGACUAUGUGAAGCUCCCAGGGUAACCUGGUCCAGAAUUUGGGGGAAUGGGAAUGGGGUUCUUAGCAACCUGGGAGACGGCCUACCUUGAUCCAAGGAGACCCCUCUUUUAGAUGAAAGCAUGUCUCUGCACAAUGACCCUGGCCCUAGACAUGGUAUCAGGAAUCCACAGGAGAGUGGAAUCUGUGCUGUGAUGGCAGGAGACACAAAGCACCUGACAAGUGAGGAGUUUGGGUUCUAGCACCAUCGCUUCCACUUCUUGGCUCUCUAUCACAUACAGCAAAUAUCUGAAUGUCUUUCACUCUGACUUUUCUCAUCUCUCCACAUGGGGACAAUAAGUGUUCUUAUGUAUCACUGAAGAUUUGACAAGGAAGAGUCAAGGGAAAAGAUGGAAAUGAGGGCACCUUGCAACGGGACUCUAUAAAGAUGAGGUCUUGUAGUAUGCUUUGGUGUGUGCCUGAGGAGCUCCCCGAAGGCCAGGGAGUCUGUGAAAGGAAAACCAGAUGGGAAGAUAGGUCCGUGGUCCUCCAUCAUUCUGAAAUCCCAAAACCUUUAAAAACAGAGUUUUAACAGAAGUUUUCAGCAAACUUAUUAGAUGAUAAAAACAUAACCUUAACUAAGGAGUAACCAUUUGUGUUGUUGGCUUUCUUUCUGCAAGAUCUAAGAGGCCCGGUGGAAUCAAUAUUCCCAAAACGCUUUCCAGGGUUAUGAGACCCGCUGAAAGUGUAAGCACUGGGAAGCUGUGUAAGCAUGUGUAAGCAUGCUGACCCAGUCAUUCAAAAUUAUGGUGAGCAAGAGUCAAGAGUCUUCCCAACCAGAGGUGUCGCUGUUGCAAAGGGGCCCUCUCACCCAGGUUUCAGGAAUUACAGUUGUCCCUGAAAAGACAAAACACUUUGCCAGGAAGUCUUUGGCAGAGGCAGCCCUGUAACUCAGAAAUUCCAGACUCCUCAAGCCUCAGUGACACAGAUGUAAGCGGUUACCAGUGCGGACCCGCGCUGCCUGACUGCACGUAGCAACACGAUGCACCUAAGGGCCUGGGCUUCUUCCUGUGAUAGAAAAGGGAGGCUACCUCCACGUGUAUAGGGACUUGGCUGGAACAACAGGAGUAGGACCACUAUGUUUUGAAAAAUGCAAAGAGAUUUUUUUUAAUGGAGCAGAAAAGCUAGUUACAUCACUGGGGUUUGCCCAUCAUUAAAUUCAUUUGGUUUAUUUUAUAUUAUGUCUGACCUGCAUGUGUGAGGCUGUAAAUUCUUCUAUGUUUGGUAAAACACUGAGCAAGAAGGCACAACUGACUAAAUACUAGAUAUUCAAGACCUAGCUUUUCUUUUUUUUUAGAGAGAGAGAGAAUGUAUGGGGGGGACG